AUGAUGAUGCAGUGGUGAUCGCGAACUUCCGCGCCGAUCGCGUCGUCGAGAUUUCUAAGGCUUUUGAGUAUCCCGACUUUAAGGAUUUCGAUCGAGUCCGAUUUCCGAAGGUCAAGUUCGCAGGGCUUAUGCAGUACGACGGGGACCUCAAGCUCCCUGCCAACUACCUUGUUCCUCCUCCCCUCAUCGAGCGCACUUCCGGUGAAGUCCUUGCAGCAAAUGGACUCAAGACCUUUGCAUGCAGUGAGACUCAGAAAUUUGGCCAUGUGACCUUCUUCUGGAAUGGCAACCGCUCUGGAUAUUUCAACGAAAAUC
Molecule: long non-coding RNA, 315 nt
Filed under: Micromonas commoda
Lineage: Eukaryota; Viridiplantae; Chlorophyta; Mamiellophyceae; Mamiellales; Mamiellaceae
Description: long non-coding RNA (MCOM_LNC000217)
Source: RNAcentral